GGGGCGGGGCGAGCAGGCACACGGAGCCAGGCAGGUGAGGGAAGGGUCAUGGGAGAGACAAAGGAAGCAGCACGAGGCAGAACGAACCCCACCGCGCCGCGUCCCGAAGCUGGCGCUCGCAGCUCACGUCAGAUUUCACAUGGAGGCGGCAUCAAAGACCCCCAACUGGCCGGGCCCUCGGCAGGACGGCCACCGACCCUUCUCCCGGCCACCGCUCCCAGGGCUAGGCGACAGGCCACGUCAACUCAGUGCGGUUUAAGGAGCAUUUUUUCGAGAAGAGAAAAAAGAAGCGAAAAAAAGGGAAAAAAUGUCCACCUAUGACGGGAGCAGCCAGCCCAAGAUGGAUCAGAAGCGCCAAAUCCCAUUACUCGGGACUUCAGAGGACAGGCCUGGAAAAGCAGCUGCGAUUACGAGCUUGCAAAUGGAGGGUCCUUUGGAGAUCAAAGAGUGACACGUUUGUGUGUGUGUGUGAGUGCACGCGUGUGUGCAGGAACGCGCACUGUGGGGCGACGGCAGUGGGGCUGUGCGCCGCGGCGUGGUGGAGCCUGCCAUGUCACCUGCCCACCACGGCCACCGCCACCCUCCAUGUUGCUUGUGUCCUUGCUGCUGUGUGCAAUGUGUGGAUGCGCCGAGGGGGCCGGUCUGGGUGCCGGUGAGGCCCGGGCCCCACCACCCACACCUGGCCUCAGGCAGUGGGCCCUCUAGGAGGUGGUCCUGGCUGGGCCUCGUCUGCCCACCUGGGCCUCCACCUUCUCCUGGAGUCGGUCCCGUGCCAAGUUUGGCCCAGAUGGGCCUGGCAGGAGCUGAGGGGGCAGGCCCGGCUGCGGGCAGAGCCGGCGUGAGGACAGCCGGUGGCUGCCUGUAACCACCCCUUCUGCUGUCCUGCCCGCAGAGGCCGAGAGCUCCCAGAUGGCCUGGCGAGCGUGUCCUGGAGGUUCAAAGCCUCCGUCAGCGGGAUUGUUAGGUUAUUAGGUAAACUCUGAGAAGCAAAUCUUUUAAUCCACUGUGGCUAAUCCAGUGCACUUUUGUGUGCCACGCAGACCCUGCAGCAACAAAGGGCCCAGGGACCCCGGCAUACAUAAUCACACACUCAGAACU
This 1098-nucleotide long non-coding RNA is filed under the name Equus asinus (donkey). RNAcentral describes it as "lncRNA (ENSEASG00005026625.1)". The record is from RNAcentral. Lineage: Eukaryota; Metazoa; Chordata; Mammalia; Perissodactyla; Equidae.